GACGAACGCUGGCGGCGUGCUUAACACACGCAAGUCGAACGACGAACCUUCCAUGAUCUAUUCGUAGAGAUUGGAAGCGGAUUAGUGGCGGACGGGUGAGUAACGCGUGAGCAACCUGCCUUAAACAACGGGAUAGCCUCGGGAAACCGGGAUUAAUACCGUAUGAGACCCCGCCUUCACAUGAAGAAGAGGUUAAAGAUUUAUCGGUUUAAGAUGGGCUCGCGUCUGAUUAGCAAGUUGGUGAGAUAAAAGCCCACCAAGGCAACGAUCAGUAACCGGCUUGAGAGAGUGAACGGUCACAUUGGAACUGAGACACGGUCCAAACUCCUACGGGAGGCAGCAGUGGGGAAUAUUGCACAAUGGGGGAAACCCUGAUGCAGCGACGCCGCGUGAGCGAUGAAGGAAUUCGUUUCGUAAAGCUCUGUCCAAGGGGAAGAUAAUGACAGUACCCUUGGAGGAAGCCCCGGCUAAAUACGUGCCAGCCGCCGCCGUAA
Molecule: ribosomal RNA, 494 nt
Filed under: uncultured bacterium
Lineage: Bacteria
Description: partial 16S ribosomal RNA
Rfam family: Bacterial small subunit ribosomal RNA
Source: RNAcentral